This 509-nucleotide ribosomal RNA is filed under the name uncultured Glomus. Its description in RNAcentral is "SSU rRNA". It matches the Rfam family "Eukaryotic small subunit ribosomal RNA", at positions 569 to 1081 of the family's 1831-position model. The record is from RNAcentral. Lineage: Eukaryota; Fungi; Glomeromycota; Glomeromycetes; Glomerales; Glomeraceae.
AGCAGCCGCGGUAAUUCCAGCUCCAAUAGCGUAUAUUAAAGUUGUUGCAGUUAAAAAGCUCGUAGUUGAAUUUCGGGAUCAAUAUGUCGGUCGUGCCUCGGUACGUACUGGCAUCAUUGGUUUCUCCCUUCUGAUGAACCAUGAUGCCAUUAAUUUGGUGUUGUGGGGAAUCAGGACUGUUACUUUGAAAAAAUUAGAGUGUUUAAAGCAGGCUCACGCUUGAAUACAUUAGCAUGGAAUAAUGAAAUAGGACGUUUGAUUCUAUUUUGUUGGUUUCUAGGAUCGACGUAAUGAUUAAUAGGGAUAGUUGGGGGCAUUAGUAUUCAAUUGUCAGAGGUGAAAUUCUUGGAUUUAUUGAAGACUAACUACUGCGAAAGCAUUUGUCCAAGGAUGUUUUCAUUAAUCAAGAACGAAAGUUAGGGGAUCGAAGACGAUCAGAUACCGUCGUAGUCUUAACCAUAAACUAUGCCGACUAGGGAUCGGAUGAUGUAAUUUUUAAUGACUCAUUC